Molecule: ribosomal RNA, 254 nt
Filed under: uncultured bacterium
Lineage: Bacteria
Description: partial 16S ribosomal RNA
Rfam family: Bacterial small subunit ribosomal RNA
Source: RNAcentral
UACGUAGGGUGCAAGCGUUGUCCGGAAUUUAUUGGGCGUAAAGAGCUCGUAGGCGGUUUGUCGCGUCUGCUGUGAAAACCCGAGGCUCAACCUCGGGCCUGCAGUGGGUACGGGCAGACUAGAGUGCGGUAGGGGAGAUUGGAAUUCCUGGUGUAGCGGUGGAAUGCGCAGAUAUCAGGAGGAACACCGAUGGCGAAGGCAGAUCUCUGGGCCGUAACUGACGCUGAGGAGCGAAAGCAUGGGGAGCGAACAGG